This 502-nucleotide ribosomal RNA is filed under the name uncultured bacterium. RNAcentral describes it as "SSU rRNA". It matches the Rfam family "Bacterial small subunit ribosomal RNA", at positions 26 to 521 of the family's 1533-position model. The record is from RNAcentral.
AGAUUGAACGCUGGCGGCAUGCCUUACACAUGCAAGUCGAACGGUAACGCGGGGGCAACCCUGGCGACGAGUGGCGAACGGGUGAGUAAUACAUCGGAACGUACCCAGUAGUGGGGGAUAGCUCGGCGAAAAGCCGGAUUAAUACCGCAUACGACCUACGGGUGAAAGCGGGGGAUCGAAAGACCUCGCGCUAUUGGAGCGGCCGAUGUCGGAUUAGCUAGUUGGUGAGGUAAAGGCUCACCAAGGCUACGAUCCGUAGCUGGUCUGAGAGGACGACCAGCCACACUGGGACUGAGACACGGCCCAGACUCCUACGGGAGGCAGCAGUGGGGAAUUUUGGACAAUGGGCGAAAGCCUGAUCCAGCCAUGCCGCGUGUGUGAAGAAGGCCUUCGGGUUGUAAAGCACUUUUGUUCGGUAACGAAACGUCAAAGGCGAAUAAUCUUUGAUAAUGACGGUACCGGAAGAAUAAGCACCGGCUAACUACGUGCCAGCAGCCGCGGU